CUAUAAUGAUAAUUAAAGAAUAAAGAACACUCACACUCAUGGUGAUCAUAGCUGGACUAGAUGCAGUUUUAAAAAGUGGUCCACUCAAGCAAUUUGUAUAAAAUCUCAAUUUAUGAUCUCUAGGCAUUUAACCAUCAUUAACACUAUAAGAAAUAUUAAAAAUGUAAAUAAAACUGGAAUCGUUUCCUUCAGAAUUACAGGUGGGAGAAGCAAUAGUCCAAUCUUCUCUUCUACUCAAGAAAAAUGUUUCUGGAGAUUAAAAGACAGAUAUGACAUUUGAGGUCUCAUUACAAUCUAUGUUAAAGCCCUUGAUCCACAAAAAAUCUCAGAUGACAAGUGACCUUGUUUAGGGAAUGACAAGCUCAAGUUUUGAGGAGAAGAUUGAGAGAAGAGAAAAUUCUGACCCUAUUAACGGGGUGUAAAGAAGAUGGGAGUUAUUGAGUUGUAGAAGAAAUAGAGAAUAUAAAUAAAUAAAAAGGACCAGUGGUCUAAGAUGGAUGGUGAACCUAAAGAAUCAUACAGGAAGAAACAGUCUUGAAAGAGACAAAGGACUUCUCAGAUCACGUCUAUGGAUGGCAAGAUGUUUGAAACACUGUAAGAGAAGACUUAGUAAACAAAAAAUGAGGAGUACCAGUUCAACGGAGACUAAAACAAUUACGGGAGCAGAUUAAGCUCAAAUAAAUGCAAAUUAUUCAGAUUAUUUCAGUAAAUUAUAAAUACAUACUAAGUGGUUGCCACAAUAAGUAAUGAAAAAAUAAAAUUUCAUCUAUUAGUGAUUAAAAGUUACAAUGUUCAUGAAAUAAUCUUAUUCUCAAAGUUAAUAAAAGUAAUAUUGGCUAGCACUUUUGAGUGCUUAUUAUAUGCCUGGCAUUAUGCUGUGUGCUUCAUACAUAUUUCCCAUGUAAUCCUUAAAAAUCUCCAGGAGCUGGUACUAAUGUUAUCAGCCUCAAUUUCCAGGUAAGGUUACAUAAUGUGUCCAGUUUGCACAGCUAGUAAGUGGUGGAGUCAGGAUUUAAUCCAAAACCUCAGCUCAUAAACAUUGCUCUAUAUCACAGUUAUGCCUUGGCAUACCUAAACACCUGGCAUAAAGUGGGAGUGAUUUAUUUGGGGGUUAGGGUCAGGAAUGGUAGGGGCUGGGGAGAGGAUAAUGCUGAGCUACCAGUUGAACAGAAUGUUUCAAUUACGUGUAUAUAAAAAUUUGAAACCAAUCUAGGACCCUCUUCUUUCAUUAAGACUCAGCACCACAGGGACAAACCUGCUACCACUUCCUUUCCCUUCUCCAACCCAAGCUACCUUGUUGUGACUCUAAGAAGAGUCAAGAGCCCCUCAGUGCUGUCUUUAAUAACCAUUUUCUCUAAUUCCAUGCUUAUAAAAAUCAUGGUAUGAGCACAGAUUAGACUUGUCCAAACUUUAUGAAAUUCCCUAGGUUCUAUAUUUCCCUGAUGAUGGCUUUCGAUAAAGUAUCCAUCUAUGAACUGAUAUUAUCUGUGAAGUUACUGCAACAAACAUAUUCUAUUUCCUCCUUGAUCUGGAGCGAUAGCUCCCCAAUUUAUGUUUCUAGAAAAGUAUUUAUUUUCCUCUUAACCUUUGACUCUUAAUUUCACCAGUUUUGGCUUGUCCAUGUCACAUCCAAAUUAUGGUCAUAAUCCUCACAUUCUUAUAAUACUUUUCCCUUCUACACUUCUAAGUGUGAUUUUAAGUUUUGUAAAAAUUAAAACGCUUACCCUAAAAUAUUAAAAAACAGAAGCUCCCUAUCACAUUCCUUUCUACUCCCAGACUUCCUAUUUCAAUUCUUUUUCUGAUCCUUCCAGUAUUAAAACCAUUUUUCUCAUUGGUUAGAUUCAUUUUUCUACAUGAUAGGCCUGUACAUUUUUCAUUUAUGUAUUAGACAUUAUCUAUUGAUUCCUGGUUUUAUCCUUGAGGACUCUGUACUCUUUUUACUCCCCAACGCUCUUAUAAUUAUUUAGUUAAAUCAUUAGUCAUUAUUAUUUUGUAAAUAUUGUUCACAAAUAAGUCAAAUUGUGUUUAGAGCUUUAUAUUUCUUUUGUUGUCAUCUUUGGCGUUCAUAAUCGGAUUCCUUUUUCAUGGUUGGUCCCCUAUGUUUUGUUAAUAUAUCCCAAAUAAAUGCCCCCCAACAAAUCUAUCAAUUGACUUGUUUUGAAUAUUCAAGUUCACAUACCAUACUUGUAAUUUCAAAUGCUCAAACAUUUCAGAUUUAUUUUUUCCUUGUUCCAGUGUGGUUUGGUUAUUCUCUAAGUAUGCAGUGCUGAGGCUGAAAUGGAACUUCUCCUCAAUCUUCUCUUGGUUUGGAUCCUCUCUGAAUUGAGUCUCACAUCAUCUUUUUUGUCUAAUCUCAUUUCCAGAAACAUGCCUCCCUAAUGGAAAUGUUCUAGGUCCUUGUGGAUUAUUCACAUUUGAAUGCUAUUUUUACUUGAAGUAGAAUCCUAACCUCAUUUUUUCCUUAGAAUUUGGAAGACCUCUCCAUUAUUUCCUAGCUUCCAGAGUUGUUGAGAAGUCUAAUGUCAUUGUGAUUUCUAGUUUAUUGCGUAUGGACUUCUUUCUCUCUAUAUACAUAUUUUUCCCUUUAUUCUUGGGAUGUCUAAAAUGUCAUAUUUUGUGUCUUGAUAUGGGUUAUUUUUUCAUUCCCUGUACUGCUCUCUCCAUGGCUCUCUCAAACUGAAAACACACAACCUCACAUCUGUGUUUCUUUGAUAAAUUCUUCAUCUAUCCUUCUCUGCUCUCUCUUUCUAGAAAUCUGUUUAGUCCAAUGUUAGACAUCCUGGAUUGGUGCUCUUAUUGUAUCAUAUUUCGCUGUUUUCCACUUUUUUAUUUUCACUUUUUGGCUUUGGGUUUUUUUUUUUACUUUCUAGGAAAUUCCAUUACUUUUUCUACCAAUUAUUC
Equus caballus (horse) is the source of this 2901-nucleotide non-coding RNA. Lineage: Eukaryota; Metazoa; Chordata; Mammalia; Perissodactyla; Equidae. The record is from RefSeq and is a predicted model, not a curated record.